RNAcentral lists this long non-coding RNA (229 nucleotides) under Lathyrus oleraceus (garden pea). RNAcentral describes it as "Pisum sativum (pea) long non-coding RNA (PSAT_LNC017256)". The record is from RNAcentral. Lineage: Eukaryota; Viridiplantae; Streptophyta; Magnoliopsida; Fabales; Fabaceae.
UUAGAGACAUUAUUCACUAAUCCUAAGUCAUAUUUUCUAUGUGAUGAAUAUAGUUCCCAAAUAAAAGAGUGAUUAUUAUGAUAUUCGGAAGAAAAUACCACGUAACUAAUCUUAUCUUCAAAUAAGGGAUUUCUUGAUUUAUGUCAGAAUCUCGGAUCUCAAGCAAUUUGUAUGUAAAGACUUAUGAAUGUAUAAUCAUUGAACAUGUAUUCAUUGAAUAUGUAAUAAA